RNAcentral lists this long non-coding RNA (3145 nucleotides) under Cucumis sativus (cucumber). RNAcentral describes it as "long non-coding RNA (CSAT_LNC000460)". The record is from RNAcentral. Lineage: Eukaryota; Viridiplantae; Streptophyta; Magnoliopsida; Cucurbitales; Cucurbitaceae.
UAAAAGAAAAUAUGAAGAAGAAAAGAAAAGGACUAUGGAAAGAAGAAAAAUAGCAUAAGAAGAAGAGAAGAAAGAUAUGAAAAGGAAGAACAAACCUAAAAUAUUUGUUUAAAAUACGGUGAGUUUCAUGAAUUUUUUUUAUUUUGUUACCCCGUAAAUAUUUCGUUGAUUUGUUAUAUUUUUAUAGUAAAAUGUAUAGAUUUAGGUAUGUUGUAUUAAAAAGUAUCCGAGUAGAAGAAGAAAGCAUAUACUCGAAAAGAGUUAAAUCUUCCAAACAAGUUCUUAUUUCUUUCUCUCAAAUAUUCUAAAACAUUGAUAUGUGAAAGAGAAAAAAGUGUGUUUAAAACAUUAUACAUAACCGUUUUGCUAGUAUGCAAAAACAGUUUGUGUAUUAUUUAUAUAAUCUUUUUGAUGCUAUUACAUGUCUGGUAUUUCAUUUUAUAUAUGGGUAAUUAUUAAACAUAAACUUGUAGCCAGAUUGCCUCAAAAUACAAAAUGUAGUUUGAGUUGAGAAAAGAGAAUUUUAUGCACGGUCCAAAGUUGGAUUUGUGCAGCCAAGUGAAAACUUUGCUCGAACAAUACAACCUUUGAUCAGCAUCCCACGUUUUUCAUAGUUUGAGUAUUCCGUUACGCUGAACUUAACUAGGCCGGUACUGUUACAUCCAUCGUCAUUGAGAGUGAACUCGCCUACUGUGAGUUCAAAGAAAAUGCCUAUCGGCUUCCUCGCGAGGCUUACUUGGCUCUGUCUCGUUGACCCAUCUGGUGUGGUGAUUGUAACGUUCAAAGGAGUCUGCCAUCCGCCGGUAUUCUCAGUGAGCAAUACCAAUAAUGAUAACACGUUUAAGACUUUUGGUGUCACCAAUGGUGCGGAAAAUGCUCCACGUAUGUCAAGCUUUUGUAUUGCAAUCAGUUGAGGGGCAUCCACAGAAGUACUGAACGUUUUGUUUUUAUUAACAUAUAUAUAUAUAUAUAUAGAUAGAUAACAAUAUUAUUAAAUUGAAUUUCGGUUCUAGAAAUAAUUAACAAAGAAAAAAACAUACAUAUGGUCCGUGAUGUAGAUCCAUUUCCAGUAUCGGGGAUCAUUAACCCCGAAAAUAGUGAGAAUUUUUGGUAAUAUGAAGAGUCGAUUAGUGUUUGUUUCGAGAUUAAUUCUGAAUUUCUGAAAGCAUUCAACAAAAUUAAUAAUCAAAACUCAAUUAUAUAUACAUACAUAUAUAUAUUUAUUAGCAUAUUAGAUUAUAGAAUAAAUCAAUAUAUUAAAUUUAAGCAGACACUUACGAUAGUUCCAUUGCAGAGGGAGAUGCCACGUUGAGAUAGUUGAUUGCAAAGAGGAAGGAAGGUUGGCCACUCGACUCCAGCUUGGUCGUCUGCGAGGGCUAAAAUUGUUUCUAAGCAAUGGUCAUACUCAAGUUUUUUUACCAAAUGCUGUUUUGCUUCCGCUUCCGUAGUCAUUUCAACCCUCAAUUAAUUACCUUUGAUAAAUCAACUAUAUAUAUAUAUAAUGUAUGUAUGUAUAUCUAUAUUUUGAUGUGAAUAAAGUUGGGAAUGGAAAUGGGAUAUAUAUAGCCUUCUUCUUUGGUAUACUAUAUUUGGAAGUCUCACAUUAAAAUUACUCCUAUCCAUAUCUUUUCUACUUUUCUUUACGUAAAUUACAAAAGUACCCAUUGCGUGUCUAUUGGUAUUUGUAAUUUCACUUCUAGUUUAUGAAUAUUAUUGGAUCAUCAAACUUAAAUACUUGUAAGUUUGAGGGCUUAAUUGAUUUUUUAUUGUUUAGUCAGAUCCAAUUUCUACAACUGUUGUAAAUUUUAGUAUGUAAUAAUGAGAAUUAUCUUACUAUACUUCGAUGAUGGCUUUGGAAAUUUAUUCUUUAUUUCUAAUAUGUUAUCUUACAAACGUAUGUUAUUUGUAAGUUAAUCUAUGCUAAUUUGUUUCAAGGAAUUUGAUGUCCUUUUGUAACUAAUUGAGUUUGCAAUUUACCCUUGCAUUUGUUUUAGAACAAAAGAGAUGAUAUGGAAAUUUAUGUUGAUAAGUAGAUAUUAAACUAAUAUAAUUUAUUAUAUUCUCGUUCAUAAUAUUCUUAGUGGAUAAUAAUUGGUUGAUAAAUUAGAAUAUGUACUUAGGUAUUUUCACUAUUAAGAUUAUUUAAAAUUAAUCCCAAAUACUUAUUUUUUUAAAGUUAAAUUUCAUAUAUGGAAUGAAAUGACAAAAUAUUUAUUAUUCCUAAAACAAUUUAAGAAAAAUCUAUUAAGCUGAUUAUUUUUUAAAAAAUUUCAUAUUUGUCCUCGCUGGUUUAUUACGAUUUUUCAAUUAUGAUUCUUCCUCCUCUUUUCGUUUUUUUUUUCUACAUCAUUCUCUAUUCUCUAUUCUCUACAUCAUUCAAGAGUAUUUUUUUUCUUUUUAUCGUCUUUCUUCUCAUCUUCUACAAUUUUUUUUCUUCUUUCCAUCGUCAUUUUCUGUUCUUCUGCAAUUUGCCUUUUUUUUUAAACAGUUAUUUAAUUCACAAGAUUGUGUACCAAAUAUACCAUAUCUUUUUUUUAAAAAAAAAUUCAAGUUGUUAUUUGGUUGUGUAGAUAUGUGACAAAUAUAAAAGUUGAUGAAAAAAAAUAGUUGGGAUAUUGAAUAGUCAAAUCUAAUCGAUCGUGUAUAACCAAAUUUAAAUAUCAAAGAAUCUUUAAACAAAUUGUUUAGAUUUGGCUCUCAAAUUUAAACAAUCGUGUACAAAAAUAGGCCAAUUUAAAUUAUCCUCUACCAAAAAAUCUUUAAAAAAUUUGUUUAAAUUUGGAUGCCAAAAUUUAAACUAAGAAUCAUUAAAAAAAAUUAUUUAGAUUUGGAUGCCCAAAUUUUAACGUAAAACAAAUAGUCAAAUUUAAAUGAUUAUGUACCUAGAAUCUUAAAAAAAAAAAUUGUUUAGAUUUUACUGUCCAUAUUUAGACGUUCAAAUCUAAACUAUCAUGUAUAAAAAAAAUAUUAAAAAAUCGUUCCGAUUUUGAUUUGAUUGUUUAGAUUUGAAAAGCACGAUCAAUUCCUACCCAAUCGCUUUCCAAAUACAAAAUGAUGUUUUUCAAAUAUAUUACGCGCGUCGAAUGCCAAUUAAUUGGGGCAGUUUUGAAAUUUUAUAUUGUAGGCCUUUAGACUAUAUAAUGUA